Molecule: transfer RNA, 68 nt
Filed under: Anadara broughtonii
Lineage: Eukaryota; Metazoa; Mollusca; Bivalvia; Arcoida; Arcidae
Also listed under: 1 other name
Description: Scapharca broughtonii tRNA-Pro
Source: RNAcentral
AGAUAAAUAGUUUACUAAGAAUAUACGCCUUGGGAGUGUAGGGUCUACUUUUAUAAGUAGUUUGUCUG